AAGAGCUGGAAGGACCCAAUAAAUGUGAGCGUGAGGCACAGAGAGAAAGGAGGCUUGAUGCUGGUGGGCAGAAACUGUGGCAAGUAGGAGGGAACUGGGGGAUAUAAAGAGCAGAAAGGAAGCAUCACUCACCGCCGAGCAGCAGCUUUCUCCAUCGUCAGCCCUGCUUGCCCUCCACCUCUGCAUGGUCUUCAUUUGGGAGGAACAAAAAUCCCCCCUGGUUUGUAGGGCAAGUCUACAUCCAGAGGGGACUUGUGGAAAGAGAUCCUGUGCUCUGCUGGCCUGUCUCUCUUAGCUAACCUCCAUAAAACCUCUGCAGUUCCUUCUGCCCACAUAUGCUGCUGAGAAAAGAGAAGCCCCUGCUUGGGAGGAUUUAGCAUUCUGGUGAGAUAUUUUGAUCAGAGAAUGAUGCUUAGAAGACACACCAUCAGCACGCUGGACCUGGGCGGAGAGAUCUGUGCGGGCUCUGCAUGGACCUGGCUCACGCUUAAAAGCAGGAGCAGCCAUUACCAUUGCUCUGGGUAGCACAGGGUUCCCUCUCACGCUGCUGGUGGCAAACAGGUUGCCUGGAACUGGGGAGCAAUUUGCAGUAAGUGACUGGGAACUGAGGGUUGGAGCCUCUCUGUGAAAGAGAUCUGCAGAAAUCUCUGCAGGGCUGGGAGAUCUGCAGAAUUAUGCUCUUAACUGUGUUAGCUGUCCCUUUGGGGCUUGCAGGUUUUCCUUGGGGUAUAGCCAAGUAUUUCCAUGGGCUGCUGAAAUUUGGCUGAUGGAAAUCCAUACUGUCACACUUUGUUAAAAGAUGUCCAGGGACAGGCAUGGAGAGAAGAAGCCAGGCUGGUUGCAAACACCUCGUUUCCUUCAGAAAUCAGUCUAGAAUUCUCCCCGGCAUAUAUAGGCUGACUACAAAGAGCUCGGCAUGUUCGUAGGGCUGUUUGUUAGCUAUGGGCUGGCAGCACGUGCUGUCAAAGCCCCUUUGUAAGACCACAGACCAACUCUCCCCUACAAGCAGUACCACCACUGCCCUGUACUCUGAUGUGAGAUGCUUUAUUUCUGUACUCCACAGAAACACAGAAAUUGGAUGUUUAGCUGACUGACAAGGGCAAGUUCUGUUAUACUGUUUAUUCCCCUGGUCUUGUCUACAAGCCAUGAAGGGACUGAUCUGAACACGUUUCUCCCUUUGCUUGCCUGAGGCUCCCAUUCCUCCUUCAACGUACUUCUUCAAAUUUCUUUUGAGAAACAAUGCUUUCAAAUAAGCUAAUAGAGAAUAUAUAAUGAAAUACGAGAAGAGCUCUGUGGAGCCCAACAUUUUGUUGUGUUCCCAGUUCACCUCCUUGCCUCAGGUUCCCUUUGUUCCCCCUCCAUCCACCCACCAGCCUUCCUGUUUGUUCUUUUUCCUUUUGACUGCCCACUUUCACAUUCGUUUUGGCUUUUCUUCAAUCUUUUAAUGCUGCAUCUAUUCCUUGAAUUUACUAUCGUUUGACAUUCUGUUUCAUGAGUCACCGCUGGGGACAGAGUUUGAAGUAGAUCAAAUUGCACAAACUAGUUCUUAGGACUGCCAAAAAAUAAUUUGAAUUCGUGCUCUUUAUUCCUGGGAUAAACCUUUGUGGGUUCUUCCCUCUACACACUCCCCUCGGAAGAUGAUGCAGUAAAUACAUGUAUUUAUUGCAUGUAAACGUCAGAGACAGGGAGACCCUGAACUUCUUUGCUUCUACCUUUGUGUAGAUCCUCAGCUUGCAAACCACAUUGAAUUCAAAGCACUUCUCCAUCCUUCCAUUCUGCCUUGUUUUCUGAGUUUUUCUCUAAUACAGCAGGAAUCAUGCCAGUGCUGACCAAACAACAGCUAAAUUCUCCAUACAACUCUGCUUUGCUGUGGUGUUCAGUCAGAAGUUGUUCCUAGGUGUGCAUGCAUGACUAAAAUCAUAAGUCUUUAAAUAACUCUGUGCCAUUUUGGUGCAAGAUGAUGAGGUUGGCAAGGAUUCUCGUUGUGUUGUCAUCACAAUUUUCAUUAGAGCAGAGUAUCAUGACAGCUUGUUCUCUGCUCAGACUGAUGUGAUUACUAAUCUGAAACCCUGGCACAUUACACUAACACCUGACAUCUGGAAGGGAAAGGUGGGAGGUGAUGCAGGCUCCCAAAGUUGCUGUGUGAUGCAUACCAAAGGUCUUCUCGUUCAUUCCAGGAGCUGCCGUAGCCAAGGUUAAUGGCCUUCCUUGGUCAGCAGAGCUAAUGCAAUUCUUGCAAUGAUAAAACAAAUAGCUUUUGUGAUUAGAAAUGGAAAAUGCCAUCAAGCAAUAUGUAGUGCUGAAUAGGCAGUGAUGGGAGUUAGCAGCACUUUCCUGUUAAACUGAGGUAGCACAUCAGGAACAGCUGGAUGAGUUGGGGAUUUAUUUACGAAAGAACAGAAAGUAUGCAUCAAGUGUACGUGUGUCAUUCAAAGUACAUCAAAUCGAAGACCCAUAUCAGAACAGCAUCGAAAAUGGGAGACGGUUCUACCAGCAAAACUUUAGAGGUAUGAGUUCGUAGCUCAUCUUAGAACCCCUCUAGCAGAGGAAGAACCUUUGGCGUUGAAUGACCAUGGUCCCUGCGGGCAGCUACUCUGUGGGAUGGCAGCAAGAGCUGUGCCGUGAUGCCAGGCACACUCACAUUGGCCCAGCAGCAGCCCAGGACCCUCAACAACCUUUGGUUCCCUAGCCUUCAUCAGCACUGCUGAUAGGAAAUGACAGCACAAGGAGCCACAGAGAACAACUUGAUAGUGGAAGUGAAAUUCCUAUUCUGCAGCAUUAAGCCAUGCACCAGCAGCCCAAAAUGCAGGCUGUUGGCAGUGUUUUCUGUGCAGACAUGUACAUUCCAGCACUCGUCUCUGGUGAUGAAUCUUUUCACAGUGAUCUUGUUCCCUGUGGAGUCAGCAAGCCCCACACGCUGCCAGUGGGACAAGUGGCCGACAGGAAAAUCUGAUUUGCACUUCCACCAUUAAGCUGCUAUUUCCAACCCUGAAAACUAUGCUGGGUGACAUUAGGCAGCCAGGCUCUGUAAAACAGCGUAGACAAGACUGUCGGAUCAGUGCGUUGGCAGGAUAAUGUGUCCUGACACCAAGGAAACCACUACAUGGGUAAAACCGAGCCCUAACCCAGCCGGGACAUGUGUGAGAGUGAAAUGCCACCACAAGACUUGAAGACAUGUAAGUUUCUCAGCUCCACAUCCAACUAUUUGUCCAACAGAGUCAUGUCUUGUGUUUGCUCUGAUCAGGGGUUAUUUUCUGUGCAGAUACGCAUUAAACUGUUAAGAAAAUAACCAAAACCUAUUAAUCACCAGCAUAUUUCUUACUACUGUACCAGUCAAGGAUUAUUUUAAUGCUUGUUUUAAUGGAUUGCUCAGCUGUGAACGAUUUUAAGGUUAAAGGUCUUGCAAGACUCUUCUUAUAAGCUUCCUGGAAUCUAAUCCAUCACUAAUUUCCAUAUGUCUCGCACAGCGCUGGGCUAAUGUAAUGCAUCGCCACAUAAAACCUUCUCUGAUGAAAUUAUCCUGGGUAUUACAGAAAUUCAAAGCAUUGUUCUUAAAGGUACGUGCCUUUUUCAGAUGUCUCACUAGUCAAGAUAUAAGCCUGGGGUGUUCAAGACGUUUUUUUCUUGACAGUAACUGCAAUAGGAAGUUUAUGAUGGCACCUCACAGCUCAGAUUCUCUGUGUUAGCGAGUGUCACAGGCAGAAGUGGCUUUUCUAUUGACAUCUCUUAGUAGAGAGCAACUCCUUUUCUACUCGUGUCCCCAGAUUGACUUUUUGGGCCCAGUUCUGGUAUUUCUCAUCCCACAAACCAACCUGCUCCCUCUAACCGUAUGUAAAAUGCUGAUGGAUCUCCUUUGCUUUUUCAGCAUUGAUUUCUUUCAGAUAAUUUUGGUACUCUCUGCUACCCAUCGGCAUGGAACCACCAGUCUAAGCACCAACAGUGGUUUCCUUUUGAUGUGCUGCAGAUGGACUGGUGCAGAGCCGCCCGAGCACAGCAGCAACAUUCUUUCCUUCUUGGCUUUCCAGUCAUUACCUCCCACAAAGGAGACAGGGAAUGGUGUUAUCUGGUUAAUGCAGUGUGCUGAGAUAAGACCAGACGCCUUGAUGUCUUUAUCCCUGAGUCAUAAACAAAUUUCCUCCAAGUGGUGGGAGAAGGGCAGUGUGAGAAACCAGACCACAGCUACCACGGUAUAUGUUAUGUUAGGGGAAAGUUGAUGUCUACAUGCAGAGAAACUGGCAAAAAUUUGAUUUCCCAAGCAGAAUAAAGACAGCUUGAAAAUACGAGCCUCCAGCACAUCAGUACAAUGCAACACCUGCAGAUGCAUAGAAGGGGAGAUAAAUUGGAAAUGAAGGCUUGUUAGCACAUUGGCAAAAACAAAUGGUAAUGGAACAAGCCUUGUGUGUGAAGUCAUAUGCAAUGAUUGUGGCAAGAGAAAUCAUUAUAUCAAAUCCUGCAGGCAAGACAAGAAAGAAUAUGCGCCACAUUCAGUGAGCAGUGGUUCAGGCAAGUAUCCGCCAUUACCCAAUGCAAAGCAGCAAAAAUAUUGUGUACAUUAAGCUGCCUUCAGAUGCAAAAAUUGUGCAUGGCCCCAUGUAGGCGCCCCAGGAGGCCGCACAGGAGGGGAUCUUUGAAAUUGUAGGGGUCUUUGAAAUUGUGAGAUGCCAAAGUACUCAGAGGCAGGCAUGUGGGCUCUCAUUCUCCCCAGCAGUGAAGGUGCACUCUCUCUGAAAACAAACCUUACUGCAGCUUGCAGUGGGGAGAAUUCUCCCUAUGUGGUUAAUUAAUGCAGGUCCCAUGACAAUUCUUAAAAUUGCAUGCUGCCAGACAAGUUUCCUGAGCCACAGUGUUUUUAACAAUAAGCAUGUCUUUUAUUUACAGGUUACCAUUAAAGACGAGAUCUGCAUUGCAUUAUUGGACUAAUAUUGCUGAGAAUAAUGUGACCGGAAUAGCUAUUCGUGCCUCAAGGCCAGAAAUGAUCUAUGCCAAGCCCACCUCCAUCCCUCCCCCUGUAUUGCCUCAUCUGUGCUGACAUUUCCUUGUGAAUAUUUAAGUUUUCCCAGCACAGGGAUUGCCUUCUUCACCGUGCACCACUUAAAUGCAACAAUCUGCAUUGCUGCGCAAAGAGGAAAGGACCUGGAGCAUCACCCUACAACAGCACCUUCAGCACUUCAAUCCUCAGCACCCGACCUCCUCCACAUUUUCUGACAGCUCCGAAAGUUUGUUGUGGAGAGGGACAAACAACAGAAAAGUAACGAAAGACACAUUUAGUCAUCCUCAGCCUGUAUUUAGGCACCUACAUCCAUUGCCCACUUUCCAGCUGGGACAGACAGGAUUUCAGCGGCAGGGAGCUGAGCUCAGGCUUAGCAGGAUGCCCACACACUUCAGCAUCCUACACACUUAAUAUCCACGAUUGUAACAACAUAGCAACUAGUCUGUAAUUAGUACAGACAUUGCCGGAGCUGCCUUUGUAUUACUUAUGAGUCAUGCUGCAAAAAUAUUCUUUAUUCAUUACCCAAGCCCUUUUCAUUUCAGUGCCAGCCAUUACCGUGUUGCAGGGCACAUAGGACUCUGUCAGGCUUGUCAAAGCCAAGUGCCUCCUGAUAGGAAUCUUCGCAUUUAACCUGACAAAGAUUUACUUUACAAAAGGGCGAGAUCAAAAGAGUUUCUCUCUGCACAAAAGAAGAAAGAAGCGCUUAAACAUGGCUCAAAGUGAGGGGUUUUCUCCUUGUGCUUCUGCAGGCGCCCAUCUAUGGUUGGAAGAACCACUUUCAGGCUUGGCUUAAAUCGUUCUGUCAGUUAAUUAAAUAUUUGUAUCUUAAUGUCUUUCUGGUUAACUAGUGAGGAGAAAAGGCUCAUGAAAAACGCAGACUGAAUAGGAAACUUUCCUUCAUCUUUAAUAUAAUAUAUGGAACAGAAAAAGGAAAAUGCAGCUGAAAUAUAUUAUGACAAGCAAAUAAAAGUAACGUUGGAAAAUUCCUCCAGGCAGAUUCUGUUCUAGACCACUACUAUUUACUAAGAUUUAUUUUUUUAUUCACUGCGUUAUUAAAUCACUGGGCUGGAAAGUCCUUGGGUCAUUUCAAACCACUGUCUCAUUGAUUUCUUAUUCCUAAAACAUCCUUAAUAUAGCACCGUCAUUGGAACUGACGACAGCGAUCCCCAAAUUUCCCCAGGCAGCAGGCUAAUAGUCUAAGUGCUCUUGCUGUUGAAGAGGAACACUGACAGAUUAACUCAGACCCCGAGAUCAGGCCUGUAAACAGAAAGGUAGGUUAAAAAAAAGCCUGACAUAAUCAGAAAAGUUCCCAUAAAACACAGUAGGAAGCUGUGAGAAAGGCCUGAAAUACAGAGGUGGUCAAGAGAAAUCUUUGAAAUAUUCUAUUUAGCAAUCUAAUUAUUUCCCUGCUAGAAAGGAUAUAGCAGAAAUACUGUACAGAACGCUCUCCCGAAGAGAAAAAGAAAACUUCCUCAGCACUAAUCAUCCAGAAAUAAAAUUAAAUUUCUAUUUUUAAGUUGAAUCUAUAUCUACAUUUUCUCAUGACAGCUCUCUCUUCCUUUCAGUGAAGUCCCUUGCUGCAUCCGUGGCUGAAAGCACAAAAGCUCAGCACUGAGAUGUACCUACUGCCUUUAAGGAUAAAUCAAACCAACUCAGCGCCGUCACUUCCUGUAGGCAUUACAGCCCUAGAGAAAUGCACCCACAUCGUUAUGAGGGAUGAUACCCUCUACCUCUCCCACACCAAACUCCAGCAGCAGUGCUUUGCCAAAGAGCCAAAAAGACCAAGUGUUGAGCUGCACAGAAAGGGAUGGAUGUGGAUGAGUCACUCUGAAAUGGAGCACCCCACCAAACCACAGCACAGUGCAGGAUGGACCGAGCAAGUCGUAAGUUGUGUUUGUCAUAGGAUCACUGAAGCUGGAAAAGACCUCUCAGAUGCUCAAGUCCAACCCCACCCCACCCCACCAUGCCCAUCACCACGUCCCUCAGUGCCACAUCCCCGUGGUUCUGGAACACCUCCGGGGACGGUGAC
Long non-coding RNA from Numida meleagris (helmeted guineafowl), 7019 nucleotides. RefSeq lists it as uncharacterized. The record is from RefSeq and is a predicted model, not a curated record. NCBI's taxonomy places the organism in Eukaryota, Metazoa, Chordata, Aves, Galliformes, Numididae. The transcript is spliced from 5 exons.